Molecule: transfer RNA, 76 nt
Filed under: Oscillospiraceae bacterium
Lineage: Bacteria; Bacillati; Bacillota; Clostridia; Eubacteriales; Oscillospiraceae
Description: tRNA-Thr
Rfam family: tRNA
About the family: Transfer RNA (tRNA) molecules are approximately 80 nucleotides in length. Their secondary structure includes four short double-helical elements and three loops (D, anti-codon, and T loops). Further hydrogen bonds mediate the characteristic L-shaped molecular structure. tRNAs have two regions of fundamental functional importance: the anti-codon, which is responsible for specific mRNA codon recognition, and the 3' end, to which the tRNAs corresponding amino acid is attached (by aminoacyl-tRNA synthetases). tRNAs cope with the degeneracy of the genetic code in two manners: having more than one tRNA (with a specific anti-codon) for a particular amino acid; and 'wobble' base-pairing, i.e. permitting non-standard base-pairing at the 3rd anti-codon position.
Source: RNAcentral
GCUGACGUGGCACAGUCGGUAGCGCACCUCCUUGGUAAGGAGGAGGUCGGCGGUUCAAGUCCGCUCGUCAGCUCCA